Molecule: long non-coding RNA, 2125 nt
Organism: Camelus dromedarius (Arabian camel)
Lineage: Eukaryota; Metazoa; Chordata; Mammalia; Artiodactyla; Camelidae
Exons: 10
Source: RefSeq, a predicted model, not a curated record
AUAAAGAGGCUAUUUUUUGCCUGCUACAAAUCUUUCCUUUUUCUUUUCUCUUAUAAAUGGGGAAUGGAUAAUGAGAUUGCCAAAGCAGAAUGCAGAAUAUCUUUUUCUAGGCUGGGUUCUAUUUGCAUUUUCCUCACCACUGGAAGCCAGGAAGAAAACUGUGAAACAUUUAUAAAACUUACAUAGAGUUUCUAAUUCAUAAUUUUUAGAGCUCUUUAGCUUUCUCUUAAAGUGUGGCCAUAGGAAGUAAUCAAUCCCAUGUUGGUUGAAAGAUAGGUACCCCUCCGAGAAACUUUCCUGAUAUUAAUUACUUAAAAACCAGAGUCUGGAUAACAGCUGCUUGAAUGGGGCUGAGCGGAGGCCUUUAUGAAUAAGAAAGAAGUCGACACUAAAGUGGAGACAACAGAAAGGAAGCAUCAUACACUAAAUAGUUUACGCAUGUCCUAGUUCAUAUAGAAGAUUAAACCUGCCCUCUGUUGCUGCAUUGUUAGUUGCCUGUUCAGUAGCUGUUUCUCCUUUGGAGUCAGCUAUCAGCACGCCAGCUUUGUCGUAGCUUUCUGCCCAGGUCCAGUUGAUGGAUUGUCAUUGGCCCAAGCCAGAGGUCGGCAAACUAUGGUCGCCUGGGCCAAAUCGGACCCACCAUCUGUUUUUAUACAGCCUGUGAGCUCAGAUUGUUUUGUACAUUUUUGAAUGGUUGUAAAAAAUCAAAAGAAUAGUAUUUCAUAAUAUGUGAGCGUUAUGUCAAAUUUCCGUGUCCAUAAAUAAAGUGCCGUUGGAACACAGCAGCAUUCGGUCGUUUAUGUGUUGUCUAUGGCGGCUGGGAUGGCAGGGCUGAGCGAUUACAGCAGGGACUGUGUGGCCUGCAAACCCUAAAAUAUUUACUCUCUGGCCUGUUACAGAGUGAGUUUGCCGACCCCUCAUCUAAGCGAAUUGUGAUAGUCCUGUCUCUUGCUUUUCCAGGCUCCCGUCCAGCUGGCUGUGCCAUGUGACAAUGAGAUGCAAGCAGAGGUCUGCCGGGGGAAUUCUGGAAAGGCUUUGCUUUCUUCAUAGAAGGCUGGCAUCUUAACUCCCCCUUCAGGUCUUGAGUAUGAAAGUCAAAUCUGGGUGUGAGAACAGCCAUCUUGCCACCAUAGGGUGAUGAACAUAAAUGUAGUAAAAGCCGACACCCAAGAGGAAAGGAAAUGACUUGAAUUCCUGAUAAAAAUGUCGACCCAAGGCCAACACCUGCUUAUUGCCAGACUUCCUACUAUGCCAAGAACCUAUUUGGUCUCAGUCGUAUAAGAAGAAUUGUGGGGGCCAGGGAACCCUUCCUGGUAUUCGUUCAGUAAGCAGUAAGUCGGUAGCCGUCUCAUCUCUCUGCAGCUGAUCAUUGGGAACUCCCCGUGAGGCCAUGGAUGCAGGCUAGGAGAGAAGGCGGCGGUGUAGCAGGAAUGAACAUCGGGGAGAUAACUGCUAUCCCGAAGUUGGAGUUUAUCAGCCCUAUGCAAUGGGUGGAGCUCAGAAACUGCGACCCCUGGGACCUUGCCAUUUGUCUUCAAGAUUUUGGAUUUGUUACCUAAUGCAAGUUUGUGUGCCCAAUGCACCGUGAGAACAAAGAAACUGAAACAUCGGAGUUUGGAGCAGAGAAAGGUUUAUUACAGGGCCGAGCAAGGAGGACCGGGAGGCCCGUGCCCUAGAAAACCACCUGGAAGAAGAGUUUCAGCAAAGCAUAUUUAAAGUUUUGUAAUGUGUCCUGGAGAAGAUCUCCUUAAGUUGAAUUUGGUGACCUGUGGGCUUCAGGGAUGAUGCAUAUCAAAUCCCUCUGCAAUUUGGAAAGUUCUCAGCCAUUAUUUGUUUAAAGAGAAAUCCCAGAGUGAGAAGAUCUUUCUUGGCAUUGAGCAAGUGCCACGUUAGGGGAGGGAGUAAUCAGGACCAGUGGAAAGCUAAGCAGGAGGAAUGAGCUUUAUCCAGCCCUCAGGAAGGCAACGUCAGGUCCACCACACUCCUAAGUUUUGCUGAGCUUGUGCUCCAGAUCUCAAGGGCUGGAGUUCUGCUGGGACUCUUGCUGCCAGAUGAAUGUGAACCACGUUUCCUCGCAGCAGGCAUAGCCCCAAGGAGCAAGGGAGAGGAAGCAAGAUAAUCAUCC